GAGGGUAUAGCUCAGUGGGAGAGCGCAUGCUUAGCAUGGACAAGGUCCUGGGUUCAAUUCACAGUACCUCCA
This is a transfer RNA of Camelus ferus (Wild Bactrian camel), 72 nucleotides long. It matches the Rfam family "tRNA". From Rfam's summary of the family: Transfer RNA (tRNA) molecules are approximately 80 nucleotides in length. Their secondary structure includes four short double-helical elements and three loops (D, anti-codon, and T loops). NCBI's taxonomy places the organism in Eukaryota, Metazoa, Chordata, Mammalia, Artiodactyla, Camelidae. The record is from Rfam.